RNAcentral lists this unclassified non-coding RNA (400 nucleotides) under soil metagenome. RNAcentral's name for it is "partial contains 5.8S ribosomal RNA, internal transcribed spacer 2, and large subunit ribosomal RNA". The stretch from base 1 to 122 matches the Rfam family "5.8S ribosomal RNA", at positions 35 to 154 of the family's 154-position model. The record is from RNAcentral.
GAUGAAGAACGUAGCGAAAUGCGAUACUUGGUGUGAAUUGCAGAAUCCCGUGAACCAUCGAGUCUUUGAACGCAAGUUGCGCCUCAAGCCAUUAGGUUGAGGGCACGUCUGCCUGGGCGUCACAUAUCGUUGCCUGAUGCCAGUUUCCUCGUGAUGGGUGACUGUGCAGGGCGAAUGAUGGCUUCCCGUGAGCAUUGUUGCCUCAUGGUUGGUUGAAAAUUGAGUCCUUGGUAGGGAGCGCCGUGAUAGAUGGUGGUUGAGUGACGAACGAGACCCAAUCAUGUGAGACCCCUACCGAAUUUGGCCUUCAUGACCCACAUGCGUCUUUGGAACGCUCAUGACGAGACCGCAGGUCAGGCGGGGCUACCCGCUGAGUUCAAGCAUAUCAAUAAGCGGAGGA